CGGAAAAUAUGCGUGAAACCGAGGAGAAUGCCAAUGGGUCAUCUAAAAAUAAUAAGGCUGUUAGACUGACCCGGAAAAGUCAUUCCAUUACGAAAGUGUCCGAAAUUAAAUUUCGUCUUGAAGUUGAUCGAAAGUCGAUACUAUCAUGGGACUAGUCCAAUUAUCACAGUUCAGUAUUGAUUAUGGAUCAAAUCAAAUCGCACAAUGAAUAUUUACUAUUGAAAAAAUCUUUUUUCUCAUCAUUUCACAUCAUUAUUAUACGCUUGACAAACUUUACUCAAAAGAGUAAUUCAUCCUUUUUGUCAUCCUCUUCCACUUUUACUUUCGCUACUAAACCUGAUCAUUAUAAUCAACCUUCUUCUUUACUCUGUCUACCUUCACUGUCUAAAAUUAGCACAAUUUACUUUUGUCAUUUCAUUGAUAUCUAACCAGAAAAUCCCUUCACAAAGUUCAUCUUUUCAAGUUUCAUUAGCCUGAUUAUCGCUUUCUUUCUCCUCAUAUUAUUCUUUUGUUUUGUAGGUUCUCAUUGUUUCUAAUUCCCUCUGUCUCUUAAUCAUCUCACCAUCUUAUCUCAAGCUAUUUUCAUGUCAUCUAAGUUAAAUAAUCUGCAAAUAUCUUCAUAUAAGACCAAUUUCCGAAUGAAAUGAACAACUACGUUAUAGCAAGAGUUGGAACAAAAGAAAUCUAAAUAUAUAAUUUCAAGUUCAAA
Tetranychus urticae (two-spotted spider mite) is the source of this 709-nucleotide non-coding RNA. The record is from RefSeq and is a predicted model, not a curated record. NCBI's taxonomy places the organism in Eukaryota, Metazoa, Arthropoda, Arachnida, Trombidiformes, Tetranychidae.